This 74-nucleotide transfer RNA is filed under the name Rhizoctonia solani AG-1 IB. RNAcentral's name for it is "tRNA-Pro". It matches the Rfam family "tRNA". From Rfam's summary of the family: Transfer RNA (tRNA) molecules are approximately 80 nucleotides in length. Lineage: Eukaryota; Fungi; Basidiomycota; Agaricomycetes; Cantharellales; Ceratobasidiaceae. The record is from RNAcentral.
GGCCGCUUGGUCUAGUAGUAUGAUUCCUGUUUUGGGAUUACAGGAGGUCGCGAGUUCAAUUCUCGCAGCGGCCC